GGGGUAUGCUCAGAGCAGGGGACAUUGAAAAAAUGGCUCCUCUGUUUACAACACACCCAACAGGGAUCUAGGUUAUUGUGACAAGGGCACAAAACUCGGCCUUCCUAUGAACAAAUAGCCUACAUGU
RNAcentral lists this small nucleolar RNA (127 nucleotides) under Sus scrofa (pig). Its description in RNAcentral is "Small nucleolar RNA SNORA11 (ENSSSCG00070023679.1)". It matches the Rfam family "Small nucleolar RNA SNORA11". Rfam says of the family: U107 (SNORA11) is a member of the H/ACA class of snoRNAs that guide the sites of modification of uridines to pseudouridines. The record is from RNAcentral. Lineage: Eukaryota; Metazoa; Chordata; Mammalia; Artiodactyla; Suidae.